This 330-nucleotide ribosomal RNA is filed under the name Triticum aestivum (bread wheat). RNAcentral describes it as "partial small subunit ribosomal RNA". The record is from RNAcentral. Lineage: Eukaryota; Viridiplantae; Streptophyta; Magnoliopsida; Poales; Poaceae.
AUGAUAUACUACUUGACGGAGGGAGUGCAUGUUGCCGAGAAAAACAGAAGUUUUGCACAUCGCCGCGGCAUAGUUGGGCCGCGCCACGCUGUUGGCGGCAGCAGCUUAAAGGCAUCUAUCCUUUAUAGCCAAGGUGUCCAAUGCUGCAACAGUGAUCGGAGGCGAACAAGGAUGAACGAAGACGGGGAAGAUGAUGGUCGGCACAUCGGGAAGAGAGAGAACCAAGCGAACAAAGUGAGGUGGGACUUUCAGAAAACAUGGAGCCUCACCAAAGCAGCAGUACAAAGACACCAUCACCACCACACACGGACAACUGCUCCCGAGUCAUGA